This 812-nucleotide ribosomal RNA is filed under the name uncultured spirochete. Its description in RNAcentral is "bacterial SSU rRNA". It matches the Rfam family "Bacterial small subunit ribosomal RNA", at positions 8 to 807 of the family's 1533-position model. The record is from RNAcentral. Lineage: Bacteria; Pseudomonadati; Spirochaetota; Spirochaetia; Spirochaetales.
AGAGUUUGAUCCUGGNUCAGAACAAACGCUGGCGGCGUGUCUUAAGCAUGCAAGUCGAGCGGCAGGCGCAGCAAUGCGCUGAGAGCGGCGGACUGGUGAGUAACGCGUGGGUAAUCUACCUUUGGCAUGGUGAUAGCCACUAGAAAUAGUGGGUAAUACCGAAUACGUUCCCUGGGGGGAGAUUUCAGGGAAGAAAGGGUGCUACGGCACCGGCCGGAGAUGAGCUCGCGUCCCAUUAGCUAGCUGGUGAGGUAACGGCCCACCAAGGCGAUGAUGGGUAGCCGGCCUGAGAGGGUGUACGGCCACACUGGGACUGAGAUACGGCCCAGACUCCUACGGGAGGCAGCAGCUAAGAAUAUUCCGCAAUGGACGAAAGUCUGACGGAGCGACGCCGCGUGGAUGAUGAAGGCCGAAAGGUUGUAAAGUCCUUUUGCUGGGGAAGAAUAAGUGUGGGAGGGAAUGCCCGCAUGAUGACAUGAACCGGCGAAUAAGCCCCGGCCAACUACGUGCCAGCAGCCGCGGUAACACGUAGGGCGGCGAGCGUUGCUCGGAAUUACUGGGCGUAAAGGGCAUGUAGGCGGUCUGGUAAGCCUGGCGUGAAAGGCCACAGCUCAACUGUGGGAUUGCGUUGGGAACUGCUGGGCUUGAGUUAUGGAGAGGGAGCUAGAAUUCCUGGUGUAGGGGUGAAAUCUGUAGAUAUCAGGAAGAAUACCGAUGGCGAAGGCAAGCUCCUGGCCGAUGACUGACGCUGAGGUGCNAAAGUGUGGGGGAUCAAACAGGAUUAAAUACCCUGGUUAGUCCNCACUGUAAAC